CAAUAGCGUAUAUUAAAGUUGUUGCGGUUAAAAAGCUCGUAGUUGGAUUUCUGCUGAGAACGACCGGUCCGCCCUUUGGGUGUGUAUCUGGCUCUUUCUUGGCAUCUUCUUGGUGAACGUUGCUGCACUUGACUGUGUGGAGCGCUACCCAGGACUUUUACUUUGAGGAAAUUAGAGUGUUUCAAGCAGGCAUACGCCUUGAAUACAUUAGCAUGGAAUAAUAAGAUAGGACCUCGGUUCUAUUUUGUUGGUUUCUAGAGCUGAGGUAAUGAUUAAUAGGGAUAGUUGGGGGCAUUCGUAUUUAACUGUCAGAGGUGAAAUUCUUGGAUUUGUUAAAGACGGACUACUGCGAANGNAUUUGCNAAGGAUGUUUNCGUUG
RNAcentral lists this ribosomal RNA (379 nucleotides) under uncultured eukaryote. Its description in RNAcentral is "partial 18S ribosomal RNA". It matches the Rfam family "Eukaryotic small subunit ribosomal RNA", at positions 592 to 975 of the family's 1831-position model. The record is from RNAcentral.